GGUUGGAACUGGUCUUGGGGCACUGGGUCCAUCCAUACCUAAUGACUACUGAUGUUUCUUAAGCUGUAUUCAGAUACUGUCUGAGUGGAAGGGUGUUGACAACAGAUGGUACUGGAAAAAGCUACACAUCUGCAUAGAAACUGUAUGUUGUUGAAUGUAUGAUAAGUCUGUACACCAAUAGACAGUUUAAACCAUUUUUUCUCUCUCAGAGCCCCAAAUUAAACAGACCACACUUUCAAUGUUUCACUCAUAUAAAACUGUUGGAGAAUAUUAACCUUAAAAAAAGCUAAAAAAAAAUAAAAGAUAGUGUAAAACCUAAGGUAAGGUGAUAAAGGUACAUAUUUUUUAUUGACUUGAGUUGUGUCUGCAACUUUUACCCAGAAACGCUUCACUAAACAUGUGCAGGUGGGCCAGACUUGUUGCAUAAAACGUAUUUCAGAAAAAUGCAAUGUCUAAAUUUUAGCUGCUGAAGCUAAGCCAUAACUAGACUUUUAAAACUUCUAAAUCAACCUGUUGGAAUAAACUCUCAGGGUCAUUUUUACAGCCAUGUCUUUUAGGCUGCAGGCGUUAGAAGAGAGGUAACUUUACUCUACAGGCCUCCACACAAUAGUGCAGUGGUGAAAAAGCCUCUGUCAGGCAGUGUUUUACUGCUGUUGCUACAGCUGAUCCCUUGUUACGGAACCCAAGUAUUACCAUGUCAUCUUAAGUCUUGGUAUACUCACUGCAGCUCGGUGGUUGCAUUUGAUUCACUUGUUUUCCACAUUGCAGUGUGCCAAGACAAUGGUUAGCUGCAGAGCGCUCUCAAGGGGCAUGACUCUCUCAAGUUUGGAGCCGAGCAGCCUUUCUUCCAUUUAAUGAGGCCUGUCUUUUAAAAUGAGAGACGGGAGAGAGUGAGAGAAACUUAUCCUCUGCUCUGUUCUGUCUGAGCAGCUGCAUCUGUGGUUUUCUCCUCUGUGGUUUUGGGAGUCAUGUCCUUUAGUCAAUCUACCUCUGAUGCAGUGUUUAAUGGCAGCUCAUCUAAGACGGCCCAAGACAGACAGCAAAGGAGAGAGUCAGACACACACCACUGGCAAAAAACUAACAUGCUACAGAAAGAUCUACAGCACAUCAUUCAGACACAAAAUGACUCUUACUGAAAGCUGUUGGUUGGCUGACAGACAAUCAAUAAUCAAGAACUAUGGCAAAAUGAGCCUAAUGGAACUGCAGUAUUCAGGGGUGCAUGUAGACUAUUUUGAAUUACAACUGCUUUAGAGUUACAUGGCACCGGGCUCCUCCAUAGUAACCAAAAUACCACUCAAUAUUUAGCCUCAACCUCCACCUGCCAAAAAGUCUGAGAGUAGGACUUGAUACCCUGACUCAACUAGACAUGCAGGAGCUCAGCAUGGAGAAGUAAUCAUAAGAGAGUAGAAGAGAGAAGUCAUAAAAUUCAAGUGUGGUGUGGGAGCCAGGGCCUGUGGUGAUGCUGAGGUGCAGGCACUGAAAACAAAUUGAGAGAAAGUGAAAGACUCCACAUAGCAAUGCUGUGUAGGAUUAUAUUAAUAAGACAGGAUUGUAUGGAUCCAGCUUUCUCUUUCUCACAACUAUCCACUGUUCACAAAGACUGACAAAUAACUGCACACUGACACAGCUGCUUCUGCUAAAACUGUAGAUGAAUGUGCUUGAUUUGAAGUCCAUGAUCAAACUUUUGGGCCACUUAGACCUGUUUAAUAUUUCCCAGUGGCUCCUUCGGUUCUCUGUUGGGCUUGUGGAUCCUCUACUCUAUAAGCUACCUUGUUUUGGUUUCAUCAGGCAACAUAACUGCUCUCUCUUUAACUGCUUUCUGGAGGUAAAGGUGCAUACAGAGGGAACAGGUAUGAGGAUACUGGAAAAGAGGAAGGGACAAACUGAGUGGAAGACGAAUGGGGGGACUCAUCACUGGCAGUUAGUUCGUAGUUGUGUGACCUUCAUAUGUGAUCUCUCUCAGGGCAGGAGUACUUCUAUCAUUUUCUUAACUGUGGGUCUAUGUGUAGAUCCGUUGUAUGUGCAGAGAAGAGAUGAAUUUGUUUUAAAAAUUGGUUUAUUUGAUUAGACCCACUGCAAGCAAUGCCUGUCCUAAAGGGGGAUUUCACUUUGCUGAAAAUAGUUGUGUUGUUUUAAAACACAACUACAAAUCGAUAAUUACAACUGCAAAAAUCUUCUCCAGGAGUCACAGAUUAUGCUUCCUUUCGACAGCUACAAAUCGAAGUUGCUGCAUUCUUUGGUGCAAAAGGCGGUCGCUAAUCUGAGAUUGACGGGUUUUACAACCAAUCAGAAGUGAUAGCAAUUCAUCACAGCCAAUUAGAGGAGACAAGGCUCUCUACAAGGAGAGUGAGAACCAGCAGUAGAUGGGGUCUCUGCCGUACC
Molecule: non-coding RNA, 2382 nt
Organism: Xyrichtys novacula (pearly razorfish)
Lineage: Eukaryota; Metazoa; Chordata; Actinopteri; Labriformes; Labridae
Source: the annotation of a GenBank genome assembly